GGUAGGGGGACGAAAUUCUAAAAGGAAGAGUCCUGAACAUAGUUUACGCCUCUGUGUCUAGAUCUCAACUACACCAUUGUUCUGCGAAACAACUCAAACCACCACUCAUCUUCUCUCCUUACUACUCGAGAAGACAACAGACAAGACACCGCCAAACCACUAGAAAGCUUCACCCAUCAACCACAGCUUGGCUUUCUCCCUCACCAUAACUUCUCACCGAUAGAAGAACUCACUGGUGAGCUCCAUGUUUCGGCAAAACACCAUAACCAAAUGAGCUCAAAGGUCCUACCAGACCCAAAACCAUUGUCGUACCCUCCUUUCUCCUUUAUUAGCUGCUAUUUGUGAGGAUCUCCACCCUCCGAUGAAGCAGAGCACCAAAGAACAACCAACAGUAGCUCCGCCUACCACCACACAGUCUAAAACAAAAAUCCCACUCCAUCCUCUUUAACACUCUAGCGAACGGCAAAUAAACCACUGGAUCUAACCACCAAAACCCGAUCCUGUUCUCUUCAUCACUCCAGCAAACAUAAAGGAAUCCCCAUAUCUCACAACAAAAACACCUCUCCGCUCUCUUCAUCACUCCAUUGAACACAAACAAAUCACAGAUCCUACAACCAAAACCCCCACCCGGUCCUCAUCGCCAAUCCAGUGGACGACAAAUGAACCCCCAGACCUCACCACCAAAUCGUAGUCCGUCCUCUUCACCAAUUUAGUGAAUGACAAACAAUCCACCAGAUCUUAACAGAAAAACUUCACUACUCCACUUCAUUGGUGCUCAAAACUGCAACUAGCAAGCUCAAGCUUCCGCAACCAACAAACAACCCACUUACCCACUCCCCUUUUUAUGUUUUUUUUUUCAUUUUCAUGUUUUUUUGGGUCAAAACCAAGUAACAACAAUAAACCAGGUCUUCAUCAACCCUCCAUUUUUUGUGAGAUUUGCCACUAUGGUGUCAUUUGUUUUGAAAUCUAUUCUGAUCUUCCAUAUGUUUCAGUUACUUUUUAUUUGUAAGAAUGUCUUUGUUAGUUGACUGAUUCAAAAGUUUAGUGCUAUUAUUGGAAGUGCUUUUAGGAGUAUUACAUAUCUAGUUAUGUAGUUCGAGAGUCCUAAUUAGUUGAUGUUAGUCGGUUAAUGAGUAAAGGGUUAGUUCUAAACUAGUGCUCUAUUUUUCUUCUCUCGGUUUGUUUGUUUCCAAUUCCUAGUUAAAGACUUGUAUCGCUGCUUUUGAAAAACAAUAGAAAAGAUGAGUUUCUCUGUGUUAGCAUCUUAUUCUAAUAGUCGUUCAUAUCUUUUCCGAACAUCUUUGGCAGUGUUGUUUAAUUUUAUAGAGGUUGUUGUUAUUUUAGUAUAGCUUUAAUCUACUCUUUAGAUUUGGAUAGAAAAGCUAAAACUCAGCAAGUUGUAUUUUUUUUUUGUUAAGUUCAAUUAAAAAUUAUUACAAUUUUUAGUGUUGAUAAUUUUAGUUUAGAUGGUUAUUGUAGUUUUGGUUGUUCUCCAAUGAUGGUGAACUUUUUCAAGCAAACCUUUCUGUUCAUUAAAUACUAAUUUAUUAUUAUGAUUAGUUUUUGUUAAUUUUGAUGGCAGUUCAAUUUUUUUCACACCUUUUGUUAACCUGCUUUGUUUGAUUCUUGAUGUUCAUUGUUACUGAUUGUUGUUAAGAAUUAAUUUUUAUUAAUUCUUUACUUAUUUAUUUGACUUUAAGUAUUACAUAGUAAAUUUACUGUUAGUGAUUAUUGUUAAGACCUAUGUUUACCAUUAAGUAUUAGAUAAUAAAUUUACUUUUAUUAUUGAUACAGUUAUUGUUUUUAGGUAAUUCAUAUUUCAAAUAACUUUAUCUUUUACAUUUAGUAGUUAACUCUAUUUAAGUUGGUGUGUAAGAAGAUCUGGAUAAUCUCAAAUAAUAUUGAAAAGAGUAUUAGUACACCUGUUAUAAUUAUUGUGUAUUAUUGUUACAAAUGAUUUAAAUUUGUUGUAUGUUGUUGUUCUCUACAGAUUUAGCUAGCUCGGGAAAAUAUCUUAAUGUUGUUGACGCAACACAAUUAUGAUUUGAGAAGAGUAUUAGUGUUUUUGUUAUAAUUAUUUUGUAUUGUUGUUAAUAUUUGUUGUAUAUUGUUGUUCUCUACAGAUUCUGGUAGCACGGGAGAUGGUCCUAACGUAGUUGACGUGCAGUACAAUCGUACCUAGAAUGUGACUUUUAAAAGUUAGAUUAUUAAAAAAAAAUAGUUGACGUGCAGUACAAUCGUACAUAGAAUGUGACUUUUAAAAGUUAGAUUAUUAAAAAAAAUUAAACUUGUGAUGCACAACAAUCCUUCUCUAAUCUAUCUCAGUAGUUUUGUUUUUUAAUUUUAUUUAACAAAUAUUUCUCACUGUUCAAUUUCUGCAUAAUGAAUGAUAGCAAAGAGGUAAAGAAAACCAAAAAAUUUAAAUCUUGGCUCAUUUUUCUUAAUUGUCUUGGCUUUUUUCUUGCUUAUUUUAUUUUCUUCAGAAUUCAAAGUUGCAUAACAGUUUCUUGGGUCUACCUAGAGUUCAUCAUAUGAUCUUUGCUUCUAUAUGUUAAAUUUUACAUAAAAACAAGACUAUCCAGUUUUCCUUUUGGAUAGGUUUAAGUUUAACUAGAUAUCAAAUUAAAGUUUUGUCUUUUUGCAUUUCUUUUGAUAUAAAUAAGUACAUGAAUAUAGGUUGAGUUUCUUCCUUCUUCCUCUUCUGCUUCCUUUUCCUUCUUCUUCUUCAUCUUCGUCUUCAUUUUCUUCCUCUCUUUCUCUUCUUCUUAUAUAAAAUUGAAUGAAUUUUGUUUUGAUAAAACAAUGAGAGGAAUAAAGAAGAAGGAGAAUGAUAUACAAGGUUCAUGGUAUAUAUUUAAGUUGCUUGGAUUUGUGUGUGGAUAUCCAAGACGGAUGCGAAUUUCAGAGUCGGAUUCGGUAAAAUUUAAAUUUUAAGAUUUCGGGAGGGGGGAAAUCCGAGCAUGGAUACGGGUGUGGGGAUUCGGCCUAAAUAUUCAAUAUUAUAAAUUAUAGGUAUAAUAAUGACUAGGUAAUUCGUACGCGCUUUAGGCGGUCAUAAAUAAUAAUUGCAUUAAACUUGAAAAUUAUUUUCUUAUAAUAUCCAUACAUUAAAAACAAUAGAAAUAUAGGUUUUUAAAAAAAUAUUAGUAAUAUUCCAACAUAAAUUUGAUUAUUUUUCAUUAUCACAUAAUUCAAG
Molecule: long non-coding RNA, 3196 nt
Filed under: Solanum lycopersicum (tomato)
Lineage: Eukaryota; Viridiplantae; Streptophyta; Magnoliopsida; Solanales; Solanaceae
Description: long non-coding RNA (SLYC_LNC000163)
Source: RNAcentral